This 497-nucleotide ribosomal RNA is filed under the name uncultured bacterium. RNAcentral describes it as "partial 16S ribosomal RNA". It matches the Rfam family "Bacterial small subunit ribosomal RNA", at positions 28 to 507 of the family's 1533-position model. The record is from RNAcentral.
GAUGAACGCUGGCGGCGUGCCUAAUACAUGCAAGUCGAGCGAACAGACGAGGAGCUUGCUCCUCUGACGUUAGCGGCGGACGUGUGAGUAACACGUGGAUAACCUACCUAUAAGACUGGGAUAACUUCGGGAAACCGGAGCUAAUACCGGAUAAUAUAUUUCACCGCAUGGUUCAAUAGUGAAAGACGGUUUUGCUGUCACUUAUAGAUGGAUCCGCGCCGCAUUAGCUAGUUGGUAAGGUAACGGCUUACCAAGGCAACGAUGCGUAGCCGACCUGAGAGGGUGAUCGGCCACACUGGAACUGAGACACGGUCCAGACUCCUACGGGAGGCAGCAGUAGGGAAUCUUCCGCAGUGGGCGAAAGCCUGACGGAGCAACGCCGCGUGAGUGAUGAAGGUCUUCGGAUCGUAAAACUCUGUUAUGAGGGAAGAACAAAUGUGUAAGUAACUAUGCACGUCUUGACGGUACCUAAUCAGAAAGCCACGGCUAACUACGUG